RNA transcript from Mastomys coucha (southern multimammate mouse), 2715 nucleotides. It is a transcript of the gene named UDP-N-acetylglucosamine transferase subunit ALG13 homolog pseudogene, with no coding region annotated. Lineage: Eukaryota; Metazoa; Chordata; Mammalia; Rodentia; Muridae. The transcript is spliced from 2 exons. The record is from RefSeq and is a predicted model, not a curated record.
GAGUCGCCCGGCAGGUUGGGCCUCGCCCCUGCCACCUCCCAGUCCAGACUCCUCGGAUGGUGAGGACUGUGGGGCGGGGACCAGCCCGAGACCAGCGAAGCUCCGCCGCCGGCUGACGCGCCGGAGAAAAGUUGUUUCUCGACCUUCUCUCGCUGGGUGAUUUGUCCCUCUCGGGUCCUCAGGCUGAGUUGGAGCCAGGGCUGGAGGUCACCGCGCCCAGACGCGCGAGGGCAGCUGCCCCGGCGCCUGGAGUUGAGUGUUGGGCCCGGAGGAGCGGGCUCAGUCCUCUGUUGCGCGCUGUGCGCUGGCGGCUCGGUUGUUUCCCCCGACCUCGGACUGCCGCACAAACUUUCUGACUGUCGAGGGGACACCGCGUGGCAGGAGGAUCCGCGGUCGCACGCAGAAGUCAUAUUAUAUCUGGAACCUGCGAUGAAGAGCGCAUUUGUGACCAUCGGGACCACCAGUUUCGAUGACCUCGUCGCUCGUGUGGUCACCAGCAAUAGCAUUCAGAUCCUCAAGAGUCUGGGUUACAACCAACUGGUCCUCCAAAUUGGUAGAGGCACUGUGGUGCCCGAACCAUUCAGUACUGAGUCAUUCACUCUGUAUGUGUAUGGGUAUAAGGACUCUUUGAAAGGAGGCUUUCAGCUGGCUGAUCUUGUCAUUAGCCAUGCAGGUACAGGAAGCUGUUUGGAGAGUCUGGGAAAAGGCAAGCCACUUGUGGUAGUUGUAAAUGGAAAGUUAAUGAACAAUCAUCAGUUUGAACUGGCAAAGCAGUUGUACAAAGAAGGUCACCUCCUCUACUGUACCUGCAGCAUGCUUCCUGAGCUGUUACAGUCAAUGGAUUUGCCAACGCUGAAAUGUUAUCCUCCUGGUCAGCCAGAGACAUUUUCUGCAUUUUUGGAUAAAGUUGUUGGAUUACAAAAAUAAACUCUCUACACUUUAAAAUACCCCUAAAUCUAGUUCAUGGAAUAUGAUUAAAGCAAAAUAAAUUGAUGACAUGUAUUUGAGGAACAAUAUAAAUCAAUAUAUUUAUUAUAAAAAUAUUAUAAGGGAUUUUGUGGCAUAAACAUUCCGGUUGGGUCUAGAUCCUAAUUUUAGUAAAUGUUUGCAGUUUCCCUAACUUUGAAUAUGUAGCCUUCAGUUUUGCCCUAAAAUUUCAAAGAAGCAAAAGCUGGGCAGUGGUGGCGCAUGCCUUUAAUUCUAGCCUUUGGGAGCCAGAAGCAGAUGUUAUCUCUGUGAGUUCAAGGCCAUUCUGGUCUGCAUAUCGAGUUCUAGGACAGCCAAGGCUACCCAGAGAAAUCCUGUUUCCAAAAACCAAAACAAUUCAAAAAUGUUAAUAAGAAACAAAUAUUAGAUGUUAUUUUGAAUAUGCUAACAAUGUAACAUUUUGGUGAGAAAAUCAGCAUUUGUAAGAUCAUAAUCUUAAGAGACAGCAUUUUUUGUAUUAAGCAGAAAAAGUGAGUUUACUUUGUAGAAGCUGAUAGUUAAUUUGAAAAAGAUCAAAGUAAUUGAUGGAGUAACUACUUUUAUCCUGAAGAGUAAAAUAGAUAUGUUCGCCUUUUGAACUUUCUGAUCCUUCAAGUGCUGGGAUUACAGGCACGCAUUGCCAUUCCUGAUAAUAUUUUUUCCUCUAAAAUAGAGAAGGGCUGGGGAAAUGUGCAGUGAGGAAGUACUUGUUGUGUAAGUGUGAGGACCUGAGUUUGCAUCUUCAGGAUAAAUGUUAAUCAGGCAUGGCAGUGUGUAUUUAAAAUCCCUGUGCUGGUGAUAAUAUUGGUAGAUGUAGACAGAAUCCCUGGAAGACAUUGGACUAAGCAGUUUAGUAUUCACAGCAGUGAAUGGUAAAAAGAGACCUGAUGCCAGGCAAGGUAAAAAGUAAGGACAGAGCCUGGGGUUUCCUCUUACCUCCACAAGUUCAGCACAGGACACGUGCCUACAUUUACACGAGUACAUACAGAUACAUAGGUAGUAUGCGGUAAUCUUAACAAUGCCUUAAAGAGUAGCAAAUAAAUCCAAAAAUAUAACAGUUAAAAAAAGGAGUCUUAUUAUUGACUUACUAUGGUUUUAUGUGCUUUUCUUGCUAAUUUUCAUAAUGAAUUUCUUUCAAAUCAAAAACUGCAUUUUGUGAGUGUUAUAAACUGUAGUUGGAAAAUCUCAAAGUUAGAGAUUUUGUGUUGUUUUUGUUCCUGGGAUUAGAAUGUAGAUGGUCUAUUUGGCGUAUACAUGAAAGCAGUAACAGUGUUUCCCUGUGUUCAUGCCGAGCUGCUGUACACAUUGCUUUGUAUCAGUUUAUGCAGUCUAAGAAAAACAUUCUGAGUGGUUCAAAGUUAAAUAUAAGAUCUAAAGGAUGGGGACAAGGGAUAAGGCAGUUAGUCAGCUGGCAUGGUGGGGCUACCCCUGAGGAUAAAUACCAGCACAGUGGAGCUGGAGGUACUGCUGCAUCUUGUGUACAUGGAACCUAUCCAUACCAUGGACCUCAACCAGCUCAGAAGUAGCAGUACUCCUUACUAAUUGUCAUCAAGUCCCACCCCCACCAUCUUCAACUUACUUUACCCCACCCCUCUUUUGAGUAGCCAGUACAGGUUCAACAUAAACAGUUUAUGCUUUCUUUCCUCCAGUUCUCAUUAGCAAAUUACUCUUAGCUUUUAGAUCUGUUGCACUUGUUUCCAGUUGCUAUCUUGUCUCACUCUUGUUAACUCAAUAAACUUGUUAAUUUCA